CAAUAGCGUAUAUUUAAGUUGUUGCAGUUAAAAAGCUCGUAGUUGGAUUUCGGGUAGGAUUUGCCGGUCCGUCUUUGAGAUGUGUACUGGUAAGUCCUAUCUUCUUGUCGGGGACCAGCUCCUGGGCUUCACUGUCCGGGACUGGGAGCCGACGAAGUUACUUUGAGUAAAUUAGAGUGUUCAAAGCAAGCCUACGCUCUGAAUAUAUUAGCAUGGAAUAACACGAUAGGACUCUGGCUUAUCUUGUUGGUCUGUGAGACCAGAGUGAUGAUUAAGAGGGACAGUCGGGGACAUUCGUAUUUCAUUGUCAGAGGUGAAAUUCUUGGAUUUAUGAAAGACGAACUUCUGCGAAAGCAUUUGUCAAGGAUGUUUUCAUUAA
This 379-nucleotide ribosomal RNA is filed under the name uncultured eukaryote. RNAcentral's name for it is "partial 18S ribosomal RNA". It matches the Rfam family "Eukaryotic small subunit ribosomal RNA", at positions 592 to 976 of the family's 1831-position model. The record is from RNAcentral.